Molecule: long non-coding RNA, 1968 nt
Organism: Sander lucioperca (pikeperch)
Lineage: Eukaryota; Metazoa; Chordata; Actinopteri; Perciformes; Percidae
Source: Ensembl
GGAUGAAGCCGAAGCUUGUGAUGUUUCCCACCCCUCAUUCAACUUUAACUCAUUCCUUUAUAUAUCAUAUAUUUUUAUGUGGGUGAAAUGUGUUCCUUUAAGGUAGAAUAGGGUAAACAAUGACAUCUGCUUGACUUCAUACACUCACAACAUGAAUUAUUCAAGUUUAGGAGUGGAAGAUAGUUUAGGUGGGUUUGGUUUUCUGUCUGUGUUGCAGGGUGAAGGGGGUGACGGCAGAUCAGGAGGAGAGUCUCCUGCAGCAGCUGACGGAGAUCACCCGGGUGAUGCAGGAGGGCCAGCUGGUGGACAACAUGGCACCAGAGAAGAAGACCCAGGAGGACUGGGAAGUUUCUGCAGAUGAUCCUGAGGAGCCUCAGCAGCAGUGGGAACAUUCCCGCUGCUGCUGUCAGCACAGUCAGCAAGACCCAAGUCCCCAGACGGAGACGGAGGCUGAGAGGACACACGCUGAUGGAGCCGACCCGGAAAACCUUUCUGAGGAUGUUACAGGUGGAGGAGAGGCUGCACAGGGAGUAGAGGGUCUGAACAAAGAGAGAGGAUCUGAUUUUACAGCAGCAAGUGAAGAGGAUGUGGGGCCAGAGAGCGUAAAGGAGAGGGUGGACGACGUGCGUGAACACAAGGAGGGAGGGUUUCAAAUGGAUCUGGGCGUCCCGGAGGACGACCUGGCUGGAGUCCUGAAGGACCUGCAGCUCACACUGGAGGUGACGUCCAUGAUGGAGCAGGAGAAGGUGGAGGACCUGAGCAGGACGACGGAGACUUCCUGCAGCGCCGUCAGACGGAGGAACAAGAGGAGGAGAGCGAAGAAAGCCUCACACUGACUUGACGUGACGCCAUGUGAACUUAAGCCGUGAACAGCUUCUUCUUUUAAAUCUGUUUUCAGCAGGCGGGUUGUUUUCGCCAGCCUUGUUUAUCUUUACUUGAAGUAAAUACGUGAGAAAAUGUGUGUACAGGGCAGUUUUAUAUCAGCUUCAUCCACUGGCUAGAAAAGGAACGAGUAUAGUUUAUGGUCUUAAAACAGUAUUGGCACUUAAAUAUUUCUAAAGAAAAAAACAGGGGCCUCAUUUAUAAAACGCUCAAAAUCUAAUACAAUAACACCAGUAUUACCAUUAUUAUACAUUGAUGAAGUAUUUAAUUUAAACUAACAUUAGGAUGUUUCCAGGUUAAGAUUUGAUGUAAAACGGUGGACACCCUGGUAAACAAACAGUAUUUAAUUCUGUUACGGGAGUGUUAUUUAUCAUAUUUCAUCUGUUCUUUUAUCCAGCCUCUUUUACUGUAAAAUGAUUUCACGUUAUUUACAAGUGCUUGAAUUAGAGGUGGUUUUUCAAAAUGUAUUACCAGCACACACAACUGAAUCAGGCCACUUCAAAACACACUUGUUCUGUAAAUGACUACAUUUCGAAAACAUCAGAAAGAAGUCACUUGCAAACAAAGGAAACACUAAUGACAUUACUUACAUCACUUUAAUAUACUGAGGCGAUUGUGCCUUUUCUCACCUGUCAGAAUAAGUGUUCGACUUCCUGCAAUCUUUAUAUCAAAGAUGCACAUUUUUAGACCCUGAAUUCCCUAAGUGUGAGGAGGAACAAUACAUGCACUGUACUAACUUAAAGCAAAGGGGACAUAAAUAGUUCCCGCUUUGUCAUCCCAUCAGUUUGGAGAGAAAUCUUGCCUCCUGUACCGAUAACAUUUUAAGAUUUUAACAAACCUGUUGUCUUAUGUUUUAAAUUAUUUUAAGCUUUUUACUUUUAUAAAAUGAAUUUCACUGUUUAGAACGGCACCUGGGUAUGGCACAUAAUAGUGAUAGAAUAACUUCAAUAAAAUGUUCAAGGUUAUUAACUUACUCCUUAAGGCUUUGUUUUAUUUUUACUCUACAUUGUAACAAGAUCAAUACUGUAAAAACGCUGUGGCUCAGACUCUUGAAACUCUCACUCUUUAAAAAUAUGUAUGUGUAAU